This is a non-coding RNA of Leguminivora glycinivorella, 81 nucleotides long. The record is from the annotation of a RefSeq genome assembly. Lineage: Eukaryota; Metazoa; Arthropoda; Insecta; Lepidoptera; Tortricidae.
GCCCGGCUAGCUCAGUCGGUAGAGCAUGAGACUCUUAAUCUCAGGGUCGUGGGUUCGAGACUUCGAGCCCCACGUUGGGCG